AUUUUUUUUCUAUUAAAGAAAAUGUGGAAGAUAUUUUAGUUAAAUAUUUAAUUUUCUUUUAUUAAAACGUAACUCACAAUUGUGAAGAAAAUGAUGUCUAAGAAUAAACUUUAAUGUCGUUUCUUCAUUUACAGAUUACACUCACUGUUUAGAAAAAAGGUUUAGGCAAUGCGACGACGUUUGUGUGUAUCUACAAGAUUUGUGUGACAAGGGCCUCCUAUGAGGCCACCGGUACCUAGUCAUUUGAGAAAAGUCGUAAAAUUUGUUGCUUGUUGUAAGAUUGUCAGAAUCAGACAAUCUGAUAAUGUCGUCGGUUCACCUAGUGAGAGGUCUGCCUAGCUAUAUCCUCCGAUUUUGUCGCGCAAAGAAAUCCCGGAGCAUCACUUGCUACUAUUUAAAAAUCAAAACAGAAAGUGCCAAAAACACGUGUUUUAGAGUAUGUAUUGGAAUAAAGAUCAUUCUUGAAUCGGACGUGUCAUCGUGUAUGGUGUCCACUAAGUAAUGCUGAACAUAGAAUGUGAGAUGCAAAUUGACUUCUAAAUGUAAGGAGAGGUGUCGGCCGCAUA
Molecule: long non-coding RNA, 566 nt
Organism: Spodoptera frugiperda (fall armyworm)
Lineage: Eukaryota; Metazoa; Arthropoda; Insecta; Lepidoptera; Noctuidae
Exons: 3
Source: RefSeq, a predicted model, not a curated record